UGGUUUAUUUUAAUUGACUGUUUAUUGACUAUAUCUGUACAUGAAAAUUUGUCACUAUUGUUACACCUUUGACGAAUUUGUUUUAGGCAUCCUAUCGUUGUUUCCAUGAUAUUUUGACUCAUCUGUUUGUGUCCUAUUUUUUCUCUCCAUCGCGAAUCAAACUUCUGAUUAUUUGGGACUACUAUAAUCAUGUUCCUAAAAAUUUUGUCGAAACAG
This 216-nucleotide long non-coding RNA is filed under the name Medicago truncatula (barrel medic). Its description in RNAcentral is "long non-coding RNA (MTRU_LNC004432)". The record is from RNAcentral. Lineage: Eukaryota; Viridiplantae; Streptophyta; Magnoliopsida; Fabales; Fabaceae.